AUCUAUGAAGCCUGAUAUCCUAAAUUAGUGUAACAAAAUCCAGUGGCCAGAACCAGUGGUGAAGCAUCAAUCUAAGGUCUUCAACCCACAUGCAGAAAUAUCAAUCAUCGGAAUUCACCAUAGUUGGAGUUGAUGUUUGACAGAGAGCCACCUUUACGGAUUUCGUACCGGUGGGACUAUUCAUCGCAGACAACAAACACAUUUAUAGGUGGAGCUUCAGUCGGAUGGAUGCUAAUGGCGAUUUAAUGCGAGAGAGUGGGAGAAGUGGUGCUAACCACAUGAAUGCUUGGAUUAAUGUAUCUGAAAGAGUAACUGAAGCCGUUUCACAGAGGGUGUUAGGAUUUGGUGAGAUCAGAAGGAACACGGCGACUGGACUUAUGAUCUCCUCCGUCAAAUUAAAACAAACCCUAAAUAAUUGGGCCAGUAUGCAAAAUCAUUUAUAGGCUCAAUAAAUAUCAUAAUUUACACAAUACGUAACAUAACUCAGCGAAAAAAACAAAAUUUGAUGUUCUAUAAAAUUGAUGCCAGGUGGCACAAUUUGCCCCAUUCUAAAAUUUGAGGUGGAGGCCUAAGGAGAGAGAAAAGUCUCCUUUAUUGUAUAAGAUUCCAAGAACUAUUACUAUUACUUAAUAGGGAAGAGAAAAAGAAUAGAAACAGAAGAAAAAAAUGAAUGGGAAAUGAGAGAAAAGUAGAAAACAAAAGAGAAUUAGGGGAAUGAAGUCAAAACGGUGGUCCAAAAGACAAUAGGAAGGACCAUUGUAAAUUUUCUAAUUUAUUGAUAUCAGAAAGUUAAACAAGAUUCCAUAAGAAAAAAAAAAAGGAAACUAAGAACAAUAAUUAUGCAAUGGUCAAAGCUUAGCAGUUGGGCUUUUUAAAUUUGGUCUAAACAAACCUGCAUGGUAAAAAAAUAAAGCGAGUAAGGUCUGAGGGUAGACGAAACUUAUUAUUCAUUUGAGCAAAUCCCAAAUCUAUAAAAGGUAAAUAUCCUGAGUUAUAAGUUUUUCAUUUUAAUGAGGCCCUGUUCGUUUGCUCACCCAGGUGAUCCAUCUGGGUGAAGAUGCAAAUUGAUGUUCGUUUAAUGCAUUAUAAUACUACAUCCAGAUGGAUCACCCAGUUGAACUCAUCUCAAAUUCUCACCCAAAUGAAGGUGAGUCUUGAUGGUGCAUCUGGAUGCAGAUGCAUCUAGUUCAGUCCAAAAUAAUAAAUGACAAAAAUGAC
RNAcentral lists this long non-coding RNA (1218 nucleotides) under Brassica rapa (field mustard). RNAcentral describes it as "long non-coding RNA (BRAP_LNC001447)". The record is from RNAcentral. Lineage: Eukaryota; Viridiplantae; Streptophyta; Magnoliopsida; Brassicales; Brassicaceae.